AUGGAUCAAGAAACGUCUUUUAAAUCAAACAAAUUUUCCCCCAGUCAUUUCAGCUCUACCCAUGACUGUAAAACAUUGCUGUGUAAACCAAAAUGGCUUUCAAUGUGCAAAGCUAUAGAAAAUAAUACAUUGGUGGUCUUUAUGUUUCACCUCCUAUGUGAAAUCUUCAUUGAUGCCUUCCACCCAGCAACGUUCUACAAAACAGUAAUUCCUUCCACUCUGAAGAUAUGCCAAGACCACAAGAAUUUGAAUGCCACAGAACACCUGCAAAGCAGGCAAAAAGAAAUGAAGACUUGCAAAGGAGGAGGAUGGGCAGGGAGCAUGAGUAUCUUCUUAUCCACUGAUGAUCAAAUAACCACCAUUGGAAAUUCUUCAUUGUCCACACAGAUUAUGAAGUGCACUCAAGAAGUAGUAAGACCUGAAGACCUGACCAAAUUAGAAGGAAAGUCUGCACACAACCAGCAUGGCCAUGCCUGGGAGUUCUGGCUUCACUGUGGCUGAAUUAAGCUUGGGGAAAUGCCUGAAACAUUAGUGCUCUGGAUGGUACUGGUUAGCUGGAGAAUCAGGCUUGGAAGAAGAAGGAACUAAGUGAGCUCUGAAGGACUCAGGAGCACAGAACAGGCUAUGUGGAUGCUGGCUUCUUGGCUGCUGCAAAGAACAAGCUCUGAGGAAUGGAGUCACACUGCAUUUGGGAUCCCAAGUCUCAGAUAAUGUGACUGCAUAGAAGGUGUUGAGGAAGAAGAUCCAGUUUCUUCUUUUACCUCCCACUGGGAGAGCAUGCCAACCACGACAGAGGGCUUACCAGAAAGAAACCAAGGGGCCCUUGACAUCUUAGGGACAUGAG
This 844-nucleotide long non-coding RNA is filed under the name Vulpes vulpes (red fox). RNAcentral's name for it is "lncRNA (ENSVVUG00000027972.1)". The record is from RNAcentral. Lineage: Eukaryota; Metazoa; Chordata; Mammalia; Carnivora; Canidae.